GGAUCUGACGUGGACGGCCCAGAUUUAACCUCUUAUUUAUUCUUCUUCCCCUCUCUCUGAAAGUGGAAAAUAUUCUCAAUUCAGGAAAAAAAAAAACCCAAUUUCGAUUCCGGUAUGAGUUGAGAUCACAAUCAUCAUCGUUCACCGGAAUAAAGUAAUUCCAAUUGUCUUGAGGUGAAAGCCAUGGCGGAAAACGGCGCUUCAUCCCCUAAAACACUACAACCCACAAACCCCAGCAUGGACCCGACGUCGACGACAACCUCAACAGUAGCAGCAGCGGCUGCCAUGGCCAUGGGUAGCCCCGCUAAUGUCACUAACACUAUGAUUUCUCAAAACCCAUCAAAUUUAUCAAAUUCUUCGAUGAACCCACAAAUCCAGUCUCCUUCUACUCUCUCACAAUCCCCUCAAAUUUCGUCUCCUCCACUUCCCCCACUUUCCAACGUCUCUCUCCCCCAAUCACAACAACAACAGCAAAUCUCUCCCUCUGUUGGAUUGGAUUUCCAGUCAAAAACCCAUCUUCAGCCGCAGCAAGCUCAGAAUGUAAAUUCCAUGUCGAAUUUUCAACUCCAGCAAAGCCUACAACGGUCUCCGUCGAUGACGCGAUUGAAUCAAAUUCAGCAGCAGCAAAGUCAGCAACAGCAGCUUGGGUUGAUGAGGCAACAAGCAAGCUUAUACGGGCAGAUGAAUUUCGGUGGUUCGGCUUCAAUUCAGCAGCAGACUCAGCAACAACAACAGCAGCAAAUGGGUUCAGGGAAUUUGUCACGAUCGGCUUUGAUUGGUCAAAGUGGGCAGCUACCAGUGUUGCCUAGCGCAGCUGCCGCACAAUUUAAUUUGCAGAAUCCGAUGCUAACCUCGCCUAGGCAAAAAGCUGCAUUAGUACAAGGAUCACAGCUCCAUGGAAGUAAUUCUGCUGGGCAGGCUUUACAAGGAAUGCAAGCUAUGGGGAUGAUGGGGUACUCACAACUGAGAGCUAAUGGGGCUCUGGCUUCUUAUGCUGCUCAGCAGCGAUUGAAUCCGGGUCAGUUGAGGCAACAAUUAUCCCAACAAAGCUCGCUUACCUCUCCUCAGGUUCAAAACUUACCGAGGUCUUCAUCACUGGCAUUUAUGAAUUCUCAGCUGUCUGGAUUAACUCAGAAUGGACAAGCAGGUUUGCAGAACCCCUUGUCGCAUCAGUGGUUAAAACAAAUUCCUGCAAUAUCUGGCCCCGGUUCACCUUCAUUCCGUCUUCAACAGCAUCAGCGGCAACAGCAGCAGCAGGCUAUCUUGCAGCAGCAUCUGGCUUCAGCUCCUCAGUUGCAUCAAACUUCAAUGGCCCUGAACCCACAACAGUUAUCCCAGAUUGUGCAGAAUCAAUCACCAAUGGGUCAUCCUCAGUUGCAGCAACAACAACAGCAGCAGCAACAACAACAACAGCAACAACAACAACAACAGCAACUACAGCUGCCACAACAACAACAGCAACUACAGCUGCCACAACAACAGUCACAACAACAGCCUUCCUUGAGUCUUCAGCAGCAACACUCCCCAAGAAUCCAGGGGCCCUCAGGCCAAAAGUCUCUUAGCUUAACAGGAUCUCAACCAGAUGCUACUGCAUCAGGAACAACUACACCUGGGGGAAGUUCAAGCCAAGGAACAGAGGCAACUAAUCAGCUUCUUGGGAAAAGGAAGAUACAAGAUUUAGUUUCACAGGUGGAUUCUCAGGCAACUAUAGACCCCGAAGUUGAAGAUAUUCUUUUGGAGAUAGGCGAUGACUUUAUUGACAAUGUGACAACAUUUAUAUGCAAUUUGGCAAAGCACCGUAAAUCUUCAACAGUAGAGUCCAAGGAUUUAUUGCUACACCUAGAAAAAAAUUGGAAAUUGACAGUUCCAGGAUUUGAAGAACAGAAGUUCCAAAACAGACCAUCAGUAAAUGAUCUUCACAAAAAACGUAUGGACAUGAUACGAACAUAUAUGGAAUCCUCACGGGCUGAAACAAACACAAUUAAUCGUAAAGAUAUUAUUAGACAAGGGCUUGGUAACCCAGUUGGCACUAACCACCUUCAACGACCUUCCCUUAGCUCAGAGCAGUUGAUUACACAACCAACUGGUUCCCAAAUGUUGCAGCAAAUGACACGAUACUAAUCAAUAUACCUCGUUAUAUCAUACUUUUUUUUGUUUGGUCUUCUUGCUGAUGAUUGAACACAAGGCCUGUACCUCAUCGGUUGUUUUUGGCCAAAAGCAAAGAUAUUGUUUGGAAAUGAUGAAAGCACAACACAAGCUGUAAUUAGUUUUCUUUAGUGUUUAAAGACCUGAGAGAACCAUAUUUGAUAAUAAGUCAAAAUCCACCUCUAUAUCACUGUUCCUGUGUAUUCCUUUUAUCAUUUGAUUCGCCCCAAGUGCCAUUUGAAUGGGCAUAUGAGGCCAACCACAUUAGAGCUUUGCUUGGUUGGUCUCUGUAAUCUAAUUUAUUUAUUUAUAGACAAAGGGUGUUUUUUUCUUUUUAUUUGUCUUCUUUCUACUUGCAAUCUUCUUUAUAGUCUAUAAAUAUAUAUAAAUAUCUUAACCUGAAAA
Molecule: RNA transcript, 2550 nt
Organism: Cannabis sativa
Lineage: Eukaryota; Viridiplantae; Streptophyta; Magnoliopsida; Rosales; Cannabaceae
Gene name: transcription initiation factor TFIID subunit 12b
Exons: 9
Source: RefSeq, a predicted model, not a curated record